Molecule: transfer RNA, 87 nt
Filed under: Heterodermia speciosa
Lineage: Eukaryota; Fungi; Ascomycota; Lecanoromycetes; Caliciales; Physciaceae
Rfam family: tRNA
About the family: Transfer RNA (tRNA) molecules are approximately 80 nucleotides in length. Their secondary structure includes four short double-helical elements and three loops (D, anti-codon, and T loops). Further hydrogen bonds mediate the characteristic L-shaped molecular structure. tRNAs have two regions of fundamental functional importance: the anti-codon, which is responsible for specific mRNA codon recognition, and the 3' end, to which the tRNAs corresponding amino acid is attached (by aminoacyl-tRNA synthetases). tRNAs cope with the degeneracy of the genetic code in two manners: having more than one tRNA (with a specific anti-codon) for a particular amino acid; and 'wobble' base-pairing, i.e. permitting non-standard base-pairing at the 3rd anti-codon position.
Source: Rfam by way of RNAcentral
GGUUUUGUAGUGUAGUGGUUAUCACACCGGAUUUUGAGGAGAUCUUUGAAAUUUCCGGUAACCCAAGUUCGAAUCUUGGCAAGACCU